Molecule: ribosomal RNA, 1338 nt
Filed under: uncultured bacterium
Lineage: Bacteria
Description: bacterial SSU rRNA
Rfam family: Bacterial small subunit ribosomal RNA
Source: RNAcentral
AACGAACGCUGGCGGCGUGGAUAAGACAUGCAAGUCGAACGAGAGAAUUGCUAGCUUGCUAAUAAUUCUCUAGUGGCGCACGGGUGAGUAACACGUGAGUAACCUGCCCCCGAGAGCGGGAUAGCCCUGGGAAACUGGGAUUAAUACCGCAUAGUAUCGAAAGAUUAAAGCAGCAAUGCGCUUGGGGAUGGGCUCGCGGCCUAUUAGUUAGUUGGUGAGGUAACGGCUCACCAAGGCGAUGACGGGUAGCCGGUCUGAGAGGAUGUCCGGCCACACUGGAACUGAGACACGGUCCAGACACCUACGGGUGGCAGCAGUCGAGAAUCAUUCACAAUGGGGGAAACCCUGAUGGUGCGACGCCGCGUGGGGGAAUGAAGGUCUUCGGAUUGUAAACCCCUGUCAUGUGGGAGCAAAUUAAAAAGAUAAUACCACAAGAGGAAGAGACGGCUAACUCUGUGCCAGCAGCCGCGGUAAUACAGAGGUCUCAAGCGUUGUUCGGAAUCACUGGGCGUAAAGCGUGCGUAGGCUGUUUCGUAAGUCGUGUGUGAAAGGCGCGGGCUCAACCCGCGGACGGCACAUGAUACUGCGAGACUAGAGUAAUGGAGGGGGAACCGGAAUUCUCGGUGUAGCAGUGAAAUGCGUAGAUAUCGAGAGGAACACUCGUGGCGAAGGCGGGUUCCUGGACAUUAACUGACGCUGAGGCACGAAGGCCAGGGGAGCGAAAGGGAUUAGAUACCCCUGUAGUCCUGGCAGUAAACGGUGCACGCUUGGUGUGCGGGGAAUCGACCCCCUGCGUGCCGGAGCUAACGCGUUAAGCGUGCCGCCUGGGGAGUACGGUCGCAAGAUCAAAACUCAAAGAAAUUGACGGGGACCCGCACAAGCGGUGGAGUAUGUGGCUUAAUUCGAUGCAACGCGAAGAACCUUACCUGGGCUUGACAUGUAAUGAACAACAUGUGAAAGCAUGCGACUCUUCGGAGGCGUUACACAGGUGCUGCAUGGCCGUCGUCAGCUCGUGUCGUGAGAUGUUUGGUUAAGUCCAGCAACGAGCGCAACCCCUGUUGCCAGUUACCAGCACGUGAAGGUGGGGACUCUGGCGAGACUGCCCAGAUCAACUGGGAGGAAGGUGGGGACGACGUCAGGUCAGUAUGGCCCUUAUGCCCAGGGCUGCACACGUACUACAAUGCCCAGUACAGAGGGGGCCGAAGCCGCGAGGCGGAGGAAAUCCUGAAAACUGGGCCCAGUUCGGACUGUAGGCUGCAACCCGCCUACACGAAGCCGGAAUCGCUAGUAAUGGCGCAUCAGCUACGGCGCCGUGAAUACGUUCCCGGGUCUUGCACU